This 446-nucleotide long non-coding RNA is filed under the name Equus asinus (donkey). RNAcentral describes it as "lncRNA (ENSEASG00005030516.1)". The record is from RNAcentral. Lineage: Eukaryota; Metazoa; Chordata; Mammalia; Perissodactyla; Equidae.
GUGAUGCUGCAUUUUCUUCAAAAGAAAUGAAGACUAUUUAUACUAUAAUGAGAUAAGAAAAUGGGGACAUUUCUGACAACUGAUGAGCUGUCAUGUCACCAAAUGUAUAUUUACUGUUUAAGUAUUUCUUUUAUAUUUUUAUUCUUAACAUUUACAUUCUGUCAGUUAAAGCUUCAGAUCCUGGCAGCAAAACGCAAUAGAGAUCAGCUGCAUCUGGCCCAUCUAAGGAUAAAAAACAAGUGUGCAAAGACAUAGGUCCUCCUGGUUGUGCUACGUGGGACACCACCUCAGCAUGGCCUGAUGAGCGGUGCCAUGUCCACGCCCAGGAUCCGAACCAGGGAAACCCUGGGGUGCUGAGGUGGAGCACAUGAACUUAACCACUUGUCCAGGGGGCUGGCCCCAAAUAUUUAUUUUUUAUCUCAAUCUUCCUAAUUUUUAUUUUUAAU